GGUUAAGUUAGAAAGGGCGCACGGUGGAUGCCUUGGCACUAGGAGCCGAUGAAGGACGGUACUAACACCGAUAUGCUUCGGGGAGCUGUAAGUAAGCUUUGAUCCGGAGAUUUCCGAAUGGGGGAACCCGCUGCUCGUAAUGGAGCAGGAUCCUUCUCUGAAUACAUAGGAGUUGGAAGGCAGACCCGGGGAACUGAAACAUCUUAGUACCCGGAGGAAGAGAAAGCAAACGCGAUUCCCCAAGUAGCGGCGAGCGAAACGGGACAUAGCCCAAACCAAGAGGCUUGCCUCUUGGGGUUGUAGGACACUCUAUACGGAGUUACAAAAGAGCGGAGUAAAUGAAGAGGUCUGGAAAGGCCCGUCAAAGAAGGUAACAACCCUGUAGUUGAAACUUCGUUCUCUCCUGAGUGGAUCCUGAGUACGGCGGGACACGUGAAAUCCCGUCGGAAGCUGGGAGGACCAUCUCCCAAGGCUAAAUACUCCCUAGUGACCGAUAGUGAACCAGUACCGUGAGGGAAAGGUGAAAAGCACCCCGGAAGGGGAGUGAAAGAGAUCCUGAAACCGUGUGCCUACAAGUAGUCAGAGCCCGUUAACGGGUGAUGGCGUGCCUUUUGUAGAAUGAACCGGCGAGUUACGAUCCCGUGCAAGGUUAAGUUGAAGAGACGGAGCCGCAGCGAAAGCGAGUCUGAAGAGGGCGAAAUAGUACGUGGUCGUAGACCCGAAACCAGGUGAUCUACCCAUGUCCAGGGUGAAGUUCAGGUAACACUGAAUGGAGGCCCGAACCCACGCACGUUGAAAAGUGCGGGGAUGAGGUGUGGGUAGCGGAGAAAUUCCAAUCGAACUUGGAGAUAGCUGGUUCUCUCCGAAAUAGCUUUAGGGCUAGCCUCAAGGUAAGAGUCUUGGAGGUAGAGCACUGAUUGGACUAGGGGCCCCCAUCGGGUUACCGAAUUCAGUCAAACUCCGAAUGCCAAAGACUUAUCCUUGGGAGUCAGACUGCGAGUGAUAAGAUCCGUAGUCGAAAGGGAAACAGCCCAGACCACCAGCUAAGGUCCCAAAGUAUACGUUAAGUGGAAAAGGAUGUGGAGUUGCUUAGACAACCAGGAUGUUGGCUUAGAAGCAGCCACCAUUUAAAGAGUGCGUAAUAGCUCACUGGUCGAGUGACUCUGCGCCGAAAAUGUACCGGGGCUAAACGUAUCACCGAAGCUGUGGACUGUUCUUACGAACAGUGGUAGGAGAGCGUUCUAAGGGCUGUGAAGCGGGACCGGAAGGACCCGUGGAGCGCUUAGAAGUGAGAAUGCCGGUAUGAGUAGCGAAAGAGGGGUGAGAAUCCCCUCCACCGAAUGCCUAAGGUUUCCUGAGGAAGGCUCGUCCGCUCAGGGUUAGUCGGGACCUAAGCCGAGGCCGAAAGGCGUAGGCGAUGGACAACAGGUUGAUAUUCCUGUACCACCUUUUUUCCAUUUGAGCAAUGGGGGGACGCAGGAGGAUAGGGUAAGCACGGCGCCGGAAUGCCGUGUCCAAGCAGUUAGGCU
RNAcentral lists this ribosomal RNA (1529 nucleotides) under Metabacillus arenae. RNAcentral's name for it is "Bacterial large subunit ribosomal RNA". It matches the Rfam family "Bacterial large subunit ribosomal RNA", at positions 1 to 1526 of the family's 2925-position model. Lineage: Bacteria; Bacillati; Bacillota; Bacilli; Caryophanales; Bacillaceae. The record is from Rfam by way of RNAcentral.